AAAGACCUGAUGGUUGGAAAAAACGGAGGUGACGCGGCUCCAGGCUCGGACGAGACGACGUGUGAAGAGGGGGCGUGAGUUCUGAGGAUUAUUAGGGUUAGAUCUCUUGCGAGAGAUUUGUUUUUUAUGUUUUUAUGUUUCGUCCUUAAAUGGCUUUAUUUCAUGUUUCGGGACUGGCCGUGUGUGGCUUUGAAUCCCUGCCGCUCUGCGGGUUUUUAUGAUGAGAUAAUCAAGUGGUACUCUUUUUUUAUUAGUUAGUGUAUAGUGGGGAAGGAAG
RNAcentral lists this long non-coding RNA (277 nucleotides) under Brassica rapa (field mustard). RNAcentral's name for it is "long non-coding RNA (BRAP_LNC008947)". Lineage: Eukaryota; Viridiplantae; Streptophyta; Magnoliopsida; Brassicales; Brassicaceae. The record is from RNAcentral.